UACGUAGGGGGCAAGCGUUGUCCGGAUUUACUGGGCGUAAAGCGCCUGUAGGCGGGGCGGGAAGUCGGACGUGAAAGGCUGGGGCUCAACCCCAGUAUGCCGUUCGAAACUCUCGCUCUUGAGGGUCGGAGAGGAGCGUGGAAUUCCCGGUGUAGUGGUGAAAUGCGUAGAGAUGCGGAAGAACACCAGUGGCGAAGGCGGUCAACUGGCCUCAUAUUGACACUCAGACGCGAAGGCAUGGGUAGCGAACGGG
Molecule: ribosomal RNA, 253 nt
Filed under: uncultured bacterium
Lineage: Bacteria
Description: partial 16S ribosomal RNA
Rfam family: Bacterial small subunit ribosomal RNA
Source: RNAcentral